This 1224-nucleotide ribosomal RNA is filed under the name Bacillus sp. (in: firmicutes). RNAcentral describes it as "bacterial SSU rRNA". It matches the Rfam family "Bacterial small subunit ribosomal RNA", at positions 105 to 1315 of the family's 1533-position model. Lineage: Bacteria; Bacillati; Bacillota; Bacilli; Caryophanales; Bacillaceae. The record is from RNAcentral.
GGUGAGUAACACGUGGGUAACCUGCCUGUAAGACUGGGAUAACUCCGGGAAACCGGGGCUAAUACCGGAUGGUUGUCUGAACCGCAUGGUUCAGACAUAAAAGGUGGCUUCGGCUACCACUUACAGAUGGACCCGCGGCGCAUUAGCUAGUUGGUGAGGUAACGGCUCACCAAGGCGACGAUGCGUAGCCGACCUGAGAGGGUGAUCGGCCACACUGGGACUGAGACACGGCCCAGACUCCUACGGGAGGCAGCAGUAGGGAAUCUUCCGCAAUGGACGAAAGUCUGACGGAGCAACGCCGCGUGAGUGAUGAAGGUUUUCGGAUCGUAAAGCUCUGUUGUUAGGGAAGAACAAGUGCCGUUCAAAUAGGGCGGCACCUUGACGGUACCUAACCAGAAAGCCACGGCUAACUACGUGCCAGCAGCCGCGGUAAUACGUAGGUGGCAAGCGUUGUCCGGAAUUAUUGGGCGUAAAGGGCUCGCAGGCGGUUUCUUAAGUCUGAUGUGAAAGCCCCCGGCUCAACCGGGGAGGGUCAUUGGAAACUGGGGAACUUGAGUGCAGAAGAGGAGAGUGGAAUUCCACGUGUAGCGGUGAAAUGCGUAGAGAUGUGGAGGAACACCAGUGGCGAAGGCGACUCUCUGGUCUGUAACUGACGCUGAGGAGCGAAAGCGUGGGGAGCGAACAGGAUUAGAUACCCUGGUAGUCCACGCCGUAAACGAUGAGUGCUAAGUGUUAGGGGGUUUCCGCCCCUUAGUGCUGCAGCUAACGCAUUAAGCACUCCGCCUGGGGAGUACGGUCGCAAGACUGAAACUCAAAGGAAUUGACGGGGGCCCGCACAAGCGGUGGAGCAUGUGGUUUAAUUCGAAGCAACGCGAAGAACCUUACCAGGUCUUGACAUCCUCUGACAAUCCUAGAGAUAGGACGUCCCCUUCGGGGGCAGAGUGACAGGUGGUGCAUGGUUGUCGUCAGCUCGUGUCGUGAGAUGUUGGGUUAAGUCCCGCAACGAGCGCAACCCUUGAUCUUAGUUGCCAGCAUUCAGUUGGGCACUCUAAGGUGACUGCCGGUGACAAACCGGAGGAAGGUGGGGAUGACGUCAAAUCAUCAUGCCCCUUAUGACCUGGGCUACACACGUGCUACAAUGGACAGAACAAAGGGCAGCGAAACCGCGAGGUUAAGCCAAUCCCACAAAUCUGUUCUCAGUUCGGAUCGCAGUCUGCAACUCGA